RNAcentral lists this ribosomal RNA (1543 nucleotides) under Escherichia coli. Its description in RNAcentral is "bacterial SSU rRNA". It matches the Rfam family "Bacterial small subunit ribosomal RNA". The record is from RNAcentral. Lineage: Bacteria; Pseudomonadati; Pseudomonadota; Gammaproteobacteria; Enterobacterales; Enterobacteriaceae.
AAAUUGAAGAGUUUGAUCAUGGCUCAGAUUGAACGCUGGCGGCAGGCCUAACACAUGCAAGUCGAACGGUAACAGGAAGAAGCUUGCUUCUUUGCUGACGAGUGGCGGACGGGUGAGUAAUGUCUGGGAAACUGCCUGAUGGAGGGGGAUAACUACUGGAAACGGUAGCUAAUACCGCAUAACGUCGCAAGACCAAAGAGGGGGACCUUCGGGCCUCUUGCCAUCGGAUGUGCCCAGAUGGGAUUAGCUAGUAGGUGGGGUAACGGCUCACCUAGGCGACGAUCCCUAGCUGGUCUGAGAGGAUGACCAGCCACACUGGAACUGAGACACGGUCCAGACUCCUACGGGAGGCAGCAGUGGGGAAUAUUGCACAAUGGGCGCAAGCCUGAUGCAGCCAUGCCGCGUGUAUGAAGAAGGCCUUCGGGUUGUAAAGUACUUUCAGCGGGGAGGAAGGGAGUAAAGUUAAUACCUUUGCUCAUUGACGUUACCCGCAGAAGAAGCACCGGCUAACUCCGUGCCAGCAGCCGCGGUAAUACGGAGGGUGCAAGCGUUAAUCGGAAUUACUGGGCGUAAAGCGCACGCAGGCGGUUUGUUAAGUCAGAUGUGAAAUCCCCGGGCUCAACCCGGGAACUGCAUCUGAUACUGGCAAGCUUGAGUCUCGUAGAGGGGGGUAGAAUUCCAGGUGUAGCGGUGAAAUGCGUAGAGAUCUGGAGGAAUACCGGUGGCGAAGGCGGCCCCCUGGACGAAGACUGACGCUCAGGUGCGAAAGCGUGGGGAGCAAACAGGAUUAGAUACCCUGGUAGUCCACGCCGUAAACGAUGUCGACUUGGAGGUUGUGCCCUUGAGGCGUGGCUUCCGGAGCUAACGCGUUAAGUCGACCGCCUGGGGAGUACGGCCGCAAGGUUAAAACUCAAAUGAAUUGACGGGGGCCCGCACAAGCGGUGGAGCAUGUGGUUUAAUUCGAUGCAACGCGAAGAACCUUACCUGGUCUUGACAUCCACAGAACUUUCCAGAGAUGGAUUGGUGCCUUCGGGAACUGUGAGACAGGUGCUGCAUGGCUGUCGUCAGCUCGUGUUGUGAAAUGUUGGGUUAAGUCCCGCAACGAGCGCAACCCUUAUCCUUUGUUGCCAGCGGUCCGGCCGGGAACUCAAAGGAGACUGCCAGUGAUAAACUGGAGGAAGGUGGGGAUGACGUCAAGUCAUCAUGGCCCUUACGACCAGGGGCUACACACGUGCUACAAUGGCGCAUACAAAGAGAAGCGACCUCGCGAGAGCAAGCGGACCUCAUAAAGUGCGUCGUAGUCCGGAUUGGAGUCUGCAACUCGACUCCAUGAAGUCGGAAUCGCUAGUAAUCGUGGAUCAGAAUGCCACGGUGAAUACGUUCCCGGGCCUUGUACACACCGCCCGUCACACCAUGGGAGUGAGUUGCAAAAGAAGUAGGUAGCUUAACCUUCGGGAGGGCGCUUACCACUUUGUGAUUCAUGACUGGGGUGAAGUCGUAACAAGGUAACCGUAGGGGAACCUGCGGUUGGAUCACCUCCUUA